Molecule: long non-coding RNA, 1092 nt
Organism: Bombyx mori (domestic silkworm)
Lineage: Eukaryota; Metazoa; Arthropoda; Insecta; Lepidoptera; Bombycidae
Exons: 3
Source: RefSeq, a predicted model, not a curated record
AGUCUGUAUUUAGGCUCAGAAGGUAGAAAACUAUUUUAUAAGAGUCUUCAAUGUCAAUGUCAGUAGAUGCGUUCAGAUUAUGAUAUAUUUGGGCUUUGGAUAUGUUUCUUUGCAUUUUAACGUCAGCUAGAAAGAGCAACACCCUUUUAAAACAUUAAAAAGAACUCCUGUCUCAAAGUGGUUGGCGGCCUUUCGAUGUGAAUUUCUAUUGGCUCCGGUAACCACUUAACACCAGGAGAAGAGAAAUGUGUGAGUCACACGUGGUGACCGUGACCGGCCAUCAUUUCAUCUAUCCUGCGUCAAUUCUGUGCCUCACAGUACGAUCCACUUCGCCGUUGCUUUGGAUAACAGACCCUAUCGGAAUCGGUAUCGGAAGUCUUGACAUACUGGCAAAGGUGCUCCGUCGAGAGCAAUGGGUGUAAAAUUGGAGAGACCGCCAAAAUCACAGAACAGAUGUUCGGUUUUCGAUCUGCUGAUUUUUAGGCCAACACUCUCCAACUUACAUCAUUAUUUCUUCAGUACGUUUUGGACCUCGAGCCCGUUUUCUCCGACGAGCACUAUGUCAUCGGCAAACAGUAUACACCAAGGGGCCUCUUCCUGUAUCUCCGACGUCAAGGCAUCCAUCACCAGCAGGAAGAGAUAAGGACUUAGCGCAGACCCUUGGUGUAAACCCACUACCACAUUGAACUCGUCGGAAUUCGUUUAAAUAUAUACAUAUGUAGAUAAUGAACACCCGGGCAAAGAGCAAACAAAUCGGUUUAUCACACGAAUGUUUGCCCGUGCGGGAAUCGAACCCACGACCUUCGGUGCAGCAGUCAGGGGCGCUACCUAUUGCGCCACCUAGUCAGUCAGAUAACACAUGUCACAUAUUGUACUUAUACGAACAAUACUGUACGUUUCUUUACUUAAUUUGCGAAGUUUUUUUUACUCUGUACUUUAUUUUAUGUUGAUUCUAUCAUAGAUUAUUUGGAAGACGUCUUUACUAACAACAAGUGAGCUUUUGCGCUAAAUUGGUUCUAUUUAAGCUGUUAUCUUAUUUGUCUUGCUUGGGAGUGAUGGAAUGCAAACAAGAAACACACACAACUAAGCUAC